Molecule: small nuclear RNA, 100 nt
Organism: Ursus americanus (American black bear)
Lineage: Eukaryota; Metazoa; Chordata; Mammalia; Carnivora; Ursidae
Source: Ensembl
GUAUUUCCCUUCAGCUGCACAUAAAGUUGAAACGAUAUGGAGAUUAGUGAGGCCCAUGGGCAAGUAUGACAUGCAAAUUUGUGAAGCGUUCCAUAUUAAA